CCCAAUUACAUCAUGUGUCUCCCUCUUCUCUACUGUGUGGUCAUUUUUCUUCUGAAAACAGAAUCGGUGCAUGCUAAAAUCACUCAGAUCCCAAGACAUCUCAUCACAGAGAAGGGACAGGAGGUGAAAAUGAGAUGUGAACAUGACACUCAGGAUACUCGCAUGUUUUGGUAUCAACAAAAGCCAGAGAGCAAGGACAAAGGUCUUGUGCUGGUUCUUUACUCUGUGGGAAAGAAUAACACAGAGAAUGGUGAUGAUCCUCAAGGAUUUAAAGCCCAGAGACCAGAAAUCAAAAUUUUUAUUCUCAGCAAAUCAUCUGCAGAACCCAGGAACUCUGGAAUGUAUUUCUGCAGUUCUGAUCACAGUGAUAAAAGGGCAUCUAAUUUCUUUACACAAAACCCCUUUCUUUAA
Non-coding RNA from Sarcophilus harrisii (Tasmanian devil), 411 nucleotides. The record is from the annotation of a RefSeq genome assembly. NCBI's taxonomy places the organism in Eukaryota, Metazoa, Chordata, Mammalia, Dasyuromorphia, Dasyuridae.